UUGCUUUCAGAAUCACCUUCUCCUUCCUAGGAAUGCAACGACGCCGAGCCAAAUCUCCCCAUCGUGUAGCAGCCGCCUCCUGGACCAACCCUCUCGACUUUCUCCAGCUUGCCGACGGUGGAGGCGGGCCAGAUCCGGUGCCUAGCUGGGCCAUUGCGCCCAGUGGAGAUCCAGAUCCAGCUCCUGACCAUCUUGUCACCGGCGGCCUGAUUGCCCCGGCGGACCUCCCCUGUUCUGAGCUGCGACCUUGUGCGGACAAGUUCUCCAAGGUACUCUCCUCCGACGUCCACAGAACAACCUUGCCCCAUCCUUUGUCCUACCCCAACCAGCCCAUUCCACAUGUCGCCCGCACCCCUGCGCAUCUAGCUCCGCCACCUGGGAACGGCGGAGAAUAAAACUCCAAUCUUCAGGUCUGAUCUCUCCCAGCACAAGAAGCUCGAUGAACAAUAAGCACUAGUAACAGAGGCAAAGGCUAUAGCUUUUCUAUUUGGCCAAAAAAAAGGCUAUAACUUUUCUGUUGUGUACCAUCAAGUACCAAAAGUUGAUGCAGUUUCUAGUGGCGAUGCUUGUUGAACGGUCAUUAUUCCACUCCAUCAUAUUUAGUCUUGCCUGUGAUGUACCAAAAAUGAUCCUUUCAUGCUAUGUAACACUUGAUAUUUUGACCUGGGAUCAUGCAAUUUGAAAUGUAUGUAUAGUUACGAUUUGAA
Molecule: long non-coding RNA, 707 nt
Organism: Triticum aestivum (bread wheat)
Lineage: Eukaryota; Viridiplantae; Streptophyta; Magnoliopsida; Poales; Poaceae
Exons: 2
Source: RefSeq, a predicted model, not a curated record